Molecule: non-coding RNA, 3721 nt
Organism: Vicugna pacos (alpaca)
Lineage: Eukaryota; Metazoa; Chordata; Mammalia; Artiodactyla; Camelidae
Source: RefSeq, a predicted model, not a curated record
GUUGUCGGCCCCCCAAAUCAGAAACUCUGGCAACACCAGGUUCACGUCCACGUGGCCGCGGCUGGAUGGGUCUGGGCGGCGUGUGCCGGUUUCACAGCUUGCUGCAGGCCCCCCGCUCUGAUGACUGUUCGCCCGGCCGCGGGAGCAUCCGAGUUCGUAGGACGGAUGGGGGCCUGGUGAUCAUAGUAAGAGCCGUGAUUUCUGAGGGUCUGUCUGAAGCAAGGUCCGGGUUGAGGCGGGGGAACCGCGUAAAUCCCCCUUUCCUGACCUCCGAAGCCACAGAUGUACUGGGGCCCCUGGUGGCGGGGUGGUCUGGGCUGCAAAGUGCAGUGUCUGGGUUUCCCUCCGCCUGACGCAGGCCCACGGGGGUCACGGAUCUGGCUGAUGUGUCUGGGGGUGACAUUGGCCACACGCUUCCCCUCCGGGAAGCUGACGCCAGCAGCGCUCUGCACCUGUGCUGUCCGGGAGAGCGAGUCCCCUCUGCUUGUAAACCCCGGGCUUCCUCCUGCUCCCUGACGCCCAGAAGUCCCCCUGCCGGGAGCGGAGCAGCGCCCCAGGCGGCCACCUCGCUCCGCGGGCUCCCGCCAGGAGCAGGAGGAGGGAGGGGGCACGUGUGGGACUGGCUGCUGGACGGAAUGAGUAACGAGAUGCUCUGGGAGGGGCACUGUUGCUCUGGGCAGGACCCACCACUGCUUCAAAUUAUCGAAUGACCAGGAGUCCCCACCCCUAAUGCCCAGUCCCCAGCCCCCCGACUCCCCUGCAUGCUCUGCACACGGGGGGUGAGCCAGCUGCAGACAGCCACGUGAUCCCUGUGGCCUUUCGGUGCACCUGACACUUAGGUCCCUGCGGUAAGUCAGCAGGGGGCCCUUCGGACGCAGGAGUGGUCCUCGGAGCGGUUAGAAUGAAGCAGUGGCCCGGCCGCUGGUGGCUGGGAAGCUUCCGACUCUGUCACCCUGGACGUUCACGUUGCUGCAGGAUGCCGCACUCAGAUGCCUGGUGCUGGGGCACACUGGUGGCUCUUUGAAUGUGGUGGAGCCAUUCCGUGACAAGGGGACAGGAGGAAUGGCCCCAAGCCGGCCUGCCCUCUCAUUAAGGGCUCCUUGUUGUCAUUCACCAGCAUGAGGGUGUGUCCUUUCAGAUCCCCCCAGACAGAGAGCUGACGGGUAAGGGGCUUUCUUGGGAAAGAUACGCGUGUACAUUACCCUGAAAUGGAGCGAAAGGGCAUUUUGCACAGUCAGCAAUUCCGCAGCGCGAUCCACCGAGCCUCCUGGUGCCGCUUUGGUUUGCAUGUGCUUGUGGAUUCCCUGUUCUGCUCAGCACAGUCAGAGCUGGGUUCUCUGUCGUUUACAACCCGGAGAGUCGCUGCAGAUUUAAGAAUCACGCCUGUCAUUACGGUCAUCAGCGGACUGUUGUCACCAGGACGCAGAGUACAGGUGGACGGACAGAAUGCCUCCGAGGACAUUCACACACGCCUUUGGAAAAUAACUGAUAGACGAGCAGUAGUUUCCCUGUGCCACUCUGGAAAAAAAUCCAUUAGACUCUUCCCAGACCUAAUUCGGUCUAAGAUCAACUCCUCUGAGGCUGCCACCGGUCAGAGUAAAUACCGUAUUUUCAGAAGACUUUUUAUGCCAUCCUAAGAGUCUCACAGUUACAGAAUUCCCUCCCUGGUUGACGCUCCCUGGGGACACACAGAGAGGCACGUGAAUCUCGUCGAUGACUUGUCUCCAAGCUACAUUUUCAGGAAGGUUUGCUUCGGGGGAGCAUUCCUGCCGACGGCUCCUCCGUCCGUGGCGUGUGGCUUUGUGUUACAACCUCGUGGACGUUUUGUUGUCGUCGCUGUUUUCCUUUGAGGGGGAGACAAUCAGGUUUAUUUAUUUUAUUUUAUUUUGAGGGGAGGUCCCGGGGAUGGAACCCAGGACCUCGGGCACGCUAGGCACACGCUCUCCCGCUGGGCUGUGCCCUGCCCCCCACUUCUCGUUACGCCCUCAUGGCUCGGCUUACAUCAUCUCUAGGAGACUCGGGAACUCGCCUUUCUGGGUGCAGUCAACAGUCUUUGGUUGCCAGUGACAGAAACUGAUUUAGACGAAUUUCAAGAGGAACGGCCUUGAUUAGAAGAGGCUGUGUUCCGAGUGUGCAGCAACCAGCCCGGACACUGGCCAGCCAGACGGGACCUGGCCGCACACACCUGGGCCAGCCCGGGGCCGCCCGCGAGCGCCCGCCCCAUGGCAGGUCCAAGCCUUUCCGCUCUUGCAGAACUUUCCCCUCGUCCUGGACGUUGCAGAGGUAAAAACAGACACACUGGUUUCUUGUUUGCAUCUCUUCCUUCUCUCUGUGGAUUCGUCUCUGGGUGGUUUGGAGCCAGGGUGUCUAACUGGGGGAGGGACUGUGACCUUGUCAUUUCCACUCAGCAUCUUCAGUGGGGUCGUGUUUUACCCGGGGGUCUCAGGGUUCCCACCGGAAAACUGGGGCAAUGGGCCUUUAAAUCCACCUGAGCUCAACCUAGUUUCUUAAGGUUUUGUUCGCCCCCAUCUCUCGACAAGUGACAAAGUCAUUAAGUGUAAAAAAACCCGCCGCACUCCCUGAAUGAGACAGCCACUCCGCCUGCGGCUGUUUCCUCAGACUGAACAGCAAGAUUGCUGUCGCUUUCAGGGAUGCCAGCUGAGAGCCCACAUCCUGCUGCCUGGUUAGCAUCCUGCUGUCAGGGCUGGCUUUGUCUGGAGAAGCCGUCCCUUCCAAAACAAAGAGACAAAACCAAAAACACCCCCCCACCCAAAACAGUGCCAAAACAGGGUGCCUUGUCUUCUUGAAAAACAGUUUAAUUGCCUCAGCGUUUAGAGGCAAAAUCACUGGUGUGUUCCCUAAUGAAAUGUUUCACGCUAUUUGGAGCCUUUGAGGGGAGAAAAGAAAAGUGCUCGCCCCCAUCGAUAAAUCACGCUAAAUCAUCCCUGUUCUUUUCGAAGGAGUCCUUUUUCACCCUCCGUGUGUAGUAUUAUCUGCGUGAAACAGGCUGGCAGAGGCAGCAGUGACAGGACACUCUGAGCACAUUUAAUGAAGUAGCUCCGAACAUUGUAUCAAAAUAAACGAAGUGAAUGAAGGCAAGAGCUCAUUCCUGGGUCCCUCUCUCUCUUUUCUUGCAACAAUAACCGCUGUGCGAACCACACACCAGGGGCGAUUCAGAUGCACGGCGGAGUUCGAAGGCGCCUCUGUGAUGUAUUGCAUACCAGGACACAACAGGCAGCUUCAGUCGUUAUGUUUAAUUCCAGUAAUUCUUUGCAGCCGGAAACUGGGAAGAAAUAGGGUGGAGAGGAGAGCGAGAAUUGCAGCCUUUUCAAGCCCAGGUUUUUGCUUCUGGUUUCGUCGGAUGGCAGCAGACAGGUUCCUGGGGUUUCGCUCCUCCGGAUCUGCUGGUGGGACUCCCUGUGUCGUCCGGGGGAACACUGCUCAGAAGUUCGCGGCUCCCGUGGGGGCGGACCUUGGUCGUUUUUUUGACUGUCCAGUGCCAGUGACCCCUUUAGGGCAGCCCUCACGGAAGAGUGAGAUUCUGCCUCUGGCAGCUGGGGGUCAGCACGUGGCCUGGUCUUGGUCAACCGGAUUCUUUCUCCAAGAAUUCUUGAUUCUUGAGUAAGAGGUGCACGGCGGCGGAGGCUGUCGAAAGUCAUAGUGAUGGUGGGGACGUCAAUGGCUUCUGUACCUUUUUACCUUUUAAUAGCUCGGGAUGCAG